Non-coding RNA from Peromyscus maniculatus bairdii (prairie deer mouse), 1286 nucleotides. The record is from RefSeq and is a predicted model, not a curated record. Lineage: Eukaryota; Metazoa; Chordata; Mammalia; Rodentia; Cricetidae.
GCCAGGGCUGUUCCUGUGUUGAAGAAGCACUCUAAGUUAUACCCUGAGCCUCUGACUUGUAAUGCUACUACUCAUAGUAUUCUUAAGUCUAUUUGGGAAAGAAGAUAAAUUGACAACAUCCUCUGAAGUGUUAUGAAGUCAUGUUCCUCUGUUAACAAUUUGAAGAGGAAUGAAGAGAUGAUUAGAAGAACAAAAACCUUGAGAAUAAAAAGUUCCUUCAACCUUUUCCAAAAUCUCAGUUGGGAACUAUUUUCUCCUGGGGUUCCAUAAUGAACUGAUGUCUGGAAAAAAAGAAAUUACAAUCUAAAAAUGCUAUAUCAAAUUCCGUCAAACAUAAAGCACAAAUGCCAGAGACCUGAAUAUUGCAUGGAGUUGUAAUGAUUUAGACAGCCUUUUGGAUGAUGCCCUAUGACAAGUAAUCAGUUAGGCUUGUUCUAACAGUAACAACUUGCAGCUCCUGGAAGGCACACCCAGUCUGCUCAUGACUGCUUUCCUCCAUCUUCCCAGCUGGCCGCACUGAAUUCUGGGACUUUCUUCUAUAGCCACAUUUUCUCUUUUGGCAGCUGAUUCUACUUUUAUAGGGCAUGUGGGUACCUGGAUACUUUCCAUAUUUUAAGGUCAGCUGACUGGCAACCUUAAUUCCAUCUGCGACCUUUUCAUUUGUCAACCAAAAUAGACAACAGAUUUGGGGAUUUUGAUGUUGUCUUUAAGGAGUCAUUUAUUCUGCCUCCUAGAAACUUGGGGUGAUGGGGUAUAGAAGAUUUAUUUAUUAACAGCCAUUCCAGCUGAUUCUAAUGAAAACAGCCAGACCAGGACAGCAAGAAAGCCUCCUCUAGAGUUUUACUCAUAGCAGCUCUAUGCAUUCACUUUUGGAUCCAAGCACAGAAGACUUGGUUUCCACACCACAUUUGAUGUAAGGAGACAAUUGAAAUCAGACUUCGGUAAGAUGACAGAAAGAGCUGUUGACACAGAAGUGUUGGCCGUGGCAGAGUUCAUCGGUUUCAGAGGGGCUUCAUUUUGGCUUGUUUUACAUGAUAGUUUGAAAAUCAAAUUUAAGAAUCAUUUAAAAGCCUGAAUGUAGAAUAUCAAGAAAGACAAUGUAGAAUGUAAUUCAUGAAAUUAGAGCUGGAGAGAUGGUUUGUAAAAUCAUUUGUCAUGAAAGCCCAUGAAACCCUGAGGACUUGAAUCCAAUCAUCAGAACCCACCAUGAACAAAGAGAACAGACUCCUGAAAGUUGUCUUCUCAUCUACACACAUGCCAAGGCAUGCAUGUGCACAUGUGUGUAU